This 176-nucleotide small RNA is filed under the name Terriglobia bacterium. RNAcentral's name for it is "6S RNA". Lineage: Bacteria; Pseudomonadati; Acidobacteriota; Terriglobia. The record is from RNAcentral.
AGGCCCCUGCGCGGUUAGUGAUGAGCGAAACUAUUCUUGAACCAACACCUAUUUGAUGGGUUCCGGGUCCCGCUCUCCUGAGCAGCCUUACGGCGAGCGAUGGAGAGUGGGUAGGGCCCCAGCCUGUGGUUAGCAGGUUCAAAUGGGGUUGCUCACACGGCCGAGGCGGGGGCCUU